GACGAACGCUGGCGGCGUGCUUAACACAUGCAAGUCGAACGGAAAGGCCCUUCUUUUGUGGGGUUCUCGAGUGGCGAACGUGUGAGUAACACGUGAGUCACCUUCCUUUUACUUUGGUAUAACUUCAGGAAACUGGGUCUAAUACCUGAUAGGAGCUCCUGCUGCAUGGUGGGUGUUGGAAAGUUUAGGCGGUUGGGGAUGGACUCGCGGCUUAUCCGCUUGUUGGUGGGGUAGUGGUUUACCAAGGCUUUGACGGGUAGCCGGCCUGAGAGGGUGACCGGCAACAUUGGGACUGAGAGACGGCCCAGACGCGUAAGGGAGGCAGCAGGGGGAAAUAUGGCACAAUGGGGGGAAGCCUGAGAAAGAAACGCCGCGUGCGGGAUGAAGGCCUUCGGGUGGUAAACCGCUUUCGCCUGUGACGAAGCGUGAGUGACGGUAAUGGGUAAAGAAGCACCGGCUAACUACGUG
This 468-nucleotide ribosomal RNA is filed under the name uncultured bacterium. Its description in RNAcentral is "partial 16S ribosomal RNA". It matches the Rfam family "Bacterial small subunit ribosomal RNA", at positions 28 to 507 of the family's 1533-position model. The record is from RNAcentral.